GUUGAUAGGUCAGAGGUGUAAGUGCGGUAACGUAUUUAGCUGACUGAUACUAAUAGGUCGAGGGCUUGACCAAUAUAA
This 78-nucleotide ribosomal RNA is filed under the name Clostridium butyricum. RNAcentral's name for it is "partial 23S ribosomal RNA". It matches the Rfam family "Bacterial large subunit ribosomal RNA", at positions 2852 to 2925 of the family's 2925-position model. Lineage: Bacteria; Bacillati; Bacillota; Clostridia; Eubacteriales; Clostridiaceae. The record is from RNAcentral.